RNAcentral lists this ribosomal RNA (433 nucleotides) under uncultured bacterium. RNAcentral's name for it is "partial 16S ribosomal RNA". It matches the Rfam family "Bacterial small subunit ribosomal RNA", at positions 29 to 507 of the family's 1533-position model. The record is from RNAcentral.
AACGAACGCUGGCGGCAUGCCUAACACAUGCAAGUCGAACGAGACCUUCGGGUCUAGUGGCGCACGGGUGCGUAACGCGGGGGAACCUGCCCUUAGGUUCGGAAUAACUCCCCGAAAGGGGUGCUAAUACCGGAUAAUGUCUUCGGACCAAAGAUUUAUCGCCUUUGGAUGGGCCCGCGUUGGAUUAGCUAGUUGGUAGGGUAAAAGCCUACCAAGGCGACGAUCCAUAGCUGGUCUGAGAGGAUGAUCAGCCACACUGGGACUGAGACACGGCCCAGACUCCUACGGGAGGCAGCAGUGGGGAAUAUUGGACAAUGGGCGAAAGCCUGAUCCAGCAAUGCCGCGUGAGUGAUGAAGGCCUUAGGGUUGUAAAGCUCUUUUAUCCGGGAUGAUAAUGACAGUACCGGGAGAAUAAGCUCCGGCUAACUCCGUG